This 449-nucleotide ribosomal RNA is filed under the name uncultured bacterium. RNAcentral's name for it is "bacterial SSU rRNA". It matches the Rfam family "Bacterial small subunit ribosomal RNA", at positions 28 to 486 of the family's 1533-position model. The record is from RNAcentral.
GAUGAACGCUGGCGGCGUGCCUAAUACAUGCAAGUCGAACGAGGUGCUUUUGUAGCAAUACGAGAGUAUCCUAGUGGCGAACGGGUGAGUAACGCGUUGGUGACCUACCCCAAAGUGUGGGAUAACAGUCCGAAAGGAUUGCUAAUACCGCAUGUGGUCUUCGGAUUUAGAAACUGAUGACUAAAGGAGCAAUUCGCUUUGGGAGGGACCUGCGUCCCAUCAGCUAGUUGGUGAGGUAAUGGCUCACCAAGGCUACGACGGGUAGGGGACCUGAGAGGGUGACCCCCCACAAUGGAACUGAAACACGGUCCAAUACACCUACGGGUGGCAGCAGUAGGGAAUAUUGCACAAUGGGCGAAAGCCUGAUGCAGCAACGCCGCGUGUGCGAUGAAGGCCUUCGGGUCGUAAAGCACUUUUCUGGGAGAUGAGCAAGGACAGUAUCUCAGGAA